Molecule: long non-coding RNA, 923 nt
Organism: Esox lucius (northern pike)
Lineage: Eukaryota; Metazoa; Chordata; Actinopteri; Esociformes; Esocidae
Source: Ensembl
UUCGUCUCAGGACAACAAAAAACUUUUUGGUAAAAUCUAAAUCUCCAACCAUCUGGGUCACGGCACCAAAGUGUAAGAAAUCGGCGGUUUCGUAUAGUGGUCAAAUAAUAUAGAACCCGUAUCAAAUCGAGGGAGAAGUUUGCUCAAGUUUAUUGGAAAAUUACAGCACAGAUGUCAUUCAGUGAACGUUCCAUUAUCUUCUCACUGCAAUGUUGGUUACCAGCUAGCCUAUACAUUAAGGGCGUUUCUAACUAAGACCAUGUCUUUAGAAGUCAACCCCCCAUGCCAUAUGACCAUCGUAAACAUUCCUACAGACAGAUAAUCUAAACAGAGAGGUUUCUGUAGUUCUCAUUAUCUAGGCACAUGCACUUCCAAUGAAAUGUACUUUCAUAUUGUAAUUGUUAAUGCUCAGAUUCCACACUACACACAUUCUGCAAAAGUCAAUACUUCUUCAGAUGAGACAGAGAAACUGGAUGAAGAUGAACAAGCCAGCCAAUCAGAUGGGAACUCCACACAAGGAUCUGGUCAUCAACAAAGUCUUCAGUAUGAUGGAGCUGCCAGCACUCCACCCCAGAUGAGCCUAACAACGCUGGAGACAAUGAUGAACAAGCCACCCUGUCAGAUAUUGCUGCCUCCUCACAAAGAAGUGAUCAUCAACAGAGACGUCACCUUGAUGGAGCUCCAUCUCAGACUUUUGCAGAUGCGCCUGACAUUGACGGUGAUGAAAUUGAUGAACAAGCCCACCAGUCAGAUGGGGCUGACUCCUCACAAUGAUCUGGUCAUCAACAGAGACCUCAACACAAUGCAGCAGCCAGCACUCCACCUCAGAUGGAAUCAGGAAAGAGAAAAUAUGGUGAUGACCCUCUCUACCCUGGUGCACCACUGACUAAAGGACAGAGUCUACUCUUACUGAUGUCUUUCAU